RNAcentral lists this ribosomal RNA (254 nucleotides) under uncultured bacterium. RNAcentral's name for it is "partial 16S ribosomal RNA". It matches the Rfam family "Bacterial small subunit ribosomal RNA", at positions 524 to 776 of the family's 1533-position model. The record is from RNAcentral.
UACGUAGGGUGCGAGCGUUGUCCGGAAUUAUUGGGCGUAAAGAGCUCGUAGGCGGUUUGUCGCGUCUGCUGUGAAAACCUAAGGCUCAACCUUGGGCUUGCAGUGGGUACGGGCAGACUAGAGUGCGGUAGGGGUGACUGGAAUUCCUGGUGUAGCGGUGAAAUGCGCAGAUAUCAGGAGGAACACCGGUGGCGAAGGCAGGUCUCUGGGCAUUAACUGACGCUGAGGAGCGAAAAGCAUGGGGAGCGAACAGG